This is a long non-coding RNA of Hyla sarda, 771 nucleotides long. RefSeq lists it as uncharacterized. NCBI's taxonomy places the organism in Eukaryota, Metazoa, Chordata, Amphibia, Anura, Hylidae. The record is from RefSeq and is a predicted model, not a curated record. The transcript is spliced from 4 exons.
GGCUGAAGAGUGACGUUCGUAAAGAGAGCACGGAGGAGGGGCGGCGCUGAGCGGGAGACGGGGAGAGUAGUGGAGCUUCACGAGGAAAACAGCUCCUCUUCAUAGUAUGGAACCUUCAUCUCCCAGAACUGCCUUGGUGGAUGGCGACGCGGGAUGGACCUGGAGAUGGUGGUUCUGGGUGAUAUAAACGCGUUGCACACGGAAGUGCGCUAGGGGCCUGACGAAGUGCAUUGUGCGGGAUACGGUCCGUGGCCCAGUCCUCCCCCCACGCCAGUACACCGCUCUCCCAUCCAGCUCCUGUACCCCAGAAGAUCUUUUAUGAAUAAAGACUGAAUAGAUUCGGCAAGACAUUGGUAACCGUAGGCGACAAAGCACUCUCUACAGGUAUCAACUCUAUUCUGUGUGGGACUACAUUUCCUAUGAUAAUUUUUUGAAGAUUUGAUACUUCGAGAUGCUUAAAUUGUUUCAUUUUAAAAUAAACGAAAUUGAAAAUAAUAGAUUUCCUAUCUAGAGUGACAUAUUUAGCCUCCAAAUAAUAAACUUCUUGAUGAACAAUCCUGCCAGAAACAAUUGAAGUGUUCUCCUUGUUUCCUUUUCCUUUUCUACAAUUAUUUCAUGGAGAAGUUAUUAAAUAUUGACUUUCAGAAUUGAUUUAUAAAGUAAAGUUUCAGUUAGAAUAAAAUUAUUUGUCAUAUAUUUGUUAGUGAUACUAUUGUACAGUUGAAAAAUAAUACCUGAUAACUAAUCUGCUUGUAUGUUUCUAUUUCUAUG